Molecule: long non-coding RNA, 418 nt
Organism: Mus musculus (house mouse)
Lineage: Eukaryota; Metazoa; Chordata; Mammalia; Rodentia; Muridae
Product: predicted gene, 57806
Exons: 2
Source: RefSeq, a predicted model, not a curated record
CCCAGCACUGGGGAGGGCUAUGUGUCCUCCUGGGAUUGGGUCAAGAACACCUGAUUUGGGUACCAGAGAGGCUGAUGCGAAAAUUGCUCCCCCCAACAGAGAUAUAAAUUGUAAUAGUUCCAGAAGGACAUGUUUUUUAGCAGAGUGUUGGCAGGGUAUAUUGCUGUGGUUGUGAAACUUCCCACCUUUGUGCCUAUAGUAGAUUUUGAAAUGUUUGCCACCUAUGCCCAUUGGUGCUACUCACUGAGUGGUCCAAUUUGAAUCUCUUUUCCUCAAAUCUUUGCUUCUGUUUGAGAAUGAGUUCAUUCACCAAGAAAUUAGGAUAGAGAUGGUCAAUAUUGUCCACAACAUAAUUACACUUGGGAUAUCUAUUAUUGUCCUCCAAGCUCUGAUGAAUACACUUGUAGCAAAAGCUGUG